This 429-nucleotide ribosomal RNA is filed under the name Bacteroidota bacterium. RNAcentral describes it as "Bacteroidetes bacterium partial 16S ribosomal RNA". It matches the Rfam family "Bacterial small subunit ribosomal RNA", at positions 355 to 776 of the family's 1533-position model. Lineage: Bacteria; Pseudomonadati; Bacteroidota. The record is from RNAcentral.
UAGGGAAUCUUCCGCAAUGGACGCAAGUCUGACGGAGCAACGCCGCGUGAGUGAAGAAGGAUUUCGGUUCGUAAUACUCUGUUGUUAGAGAAGAACAGCGCAUAGAGUAACUGUUAUGCGUGUGACGGUAUCUAACCAGAAAGCCACGGCUAACUACGUGCCAGCAGCCGCGGUAAUACGUAGGUGGCAAGCGUUGUCCGGAUUUAUUGGGCGUAAAGCGAGCGCAGGCGGUCAAUUAAGUCUGAUGUGAAAGCCCCCGGCUCAACCGGGGAGGGUCAUUGGAAACUGGUUGACUUGAGUGCAGAAGAGGAGAGUGGAAUUCCAUGUGUAGCGGUGAAAUGCGUAGAUAUAUGGAGGAACACCAGUGGCGAAGGCGACUCUCUGGUCUGUAACUGACGCUGAGGCUCGAAAGCGUGGGUAGCAAACAGG